GGUACGUCUGCUGGAAACUCGGAAAAAUCACAGCGAAGGGUAGCAGAAUUGAUCAACAGUGGCAACGUGAGUCGAAAUAGUUCCAACGGCACAAUCGAUAUUUGUCGUCUCCGCCGGAGGCUCGCGGUUACUCCUGGUUCCGGAUGUGGAAAGUAUGAUGCACAAUGGUCCGUUGUUAUUGUAUAAUAUAAUAGAAUCUUUUAAAUUUCAGUUUCAAUUUCUAGUGCGGUAAGUAUCAGCAGCUUUGGGGAUUGUCAGGAAUGUUUCAUGUGUAAAGUGGUCCCGACACCAAAAUGUUGGAGCACGGCUGCUGUGACUUACCAUUCUAGAAGUGGAAUCGGGAGGCAAGAAAGAUGUGCUCUUGCAUUUUGGUAGAGAUUGUCAAGUAGCCCUCAUGAAACGUUUAGUGGGCACCACCCGUGCAUCGCGGGUGGUGUCAUGGCUGACGCUCGUGACUGACACCAACUUACAGCCCGGGGACUCGGUGUAUAUUCUGAUGGAUGUCUGAUGGACGAUGAGGUCCUCGUCCUCUGUAAUCGACAGGAUGAAUUCCACCACUGGCUUCCCACACAAGAGACCAGAUCUGCCAUCCUGGGAUAAAACCCCGCUGAUCACAGACAGAGGCCGCUGUCACCAAUUUGCCUUCUCACCAUUCCGCAGGCCAGAGGUCUGCGAUCAGGUGUGGCCAGGGCCGUGUUCUCGCAGGAGGCUCCAGGGGAGGACCCUUCCUCACCUUCCCCAGAUUCUGUGGUGCCCACCCAUCCUUGGCGUUCCUUGGUUUACGACUUCCGCGUCCAUCAUACGUUGUUUGCUCUGUACAUCUGUCUUCCUGAGACGUUCUCUUCUCCGCCUGUCUUCUGCCGUUCUUACAAGGACACCAGUCACAUGGGACCAAGGGCCCACGCUAAUCCAGGAUGACCUCGUCGUAGUCUAACUAACUGCAUCCGCGGAGACCCUAUUUCCAAAUGUGGGCACCUGCACAGGUGGCCAGCACAAGGUGGCUCCUCGUGGUUGGGACCGAGGUGUCCAGAGGUCCCGGUCUUCUUGCCGGCUGUCACGGGCUGCCGUCAGCCCCCAGAGCCCACGAGCGCAAUUACAAUUUGGCAAAGCUCAGGACGGACGGAUUAGGGAGCUGUUUGUUCCGGUAGUUACCGCACCCCGAGGGGUCACCCCCACCGCGGUCUCCCACAACGCCAGCUCCUGUCCACACUGCAGGAUGCUUCUCUCUACCGCGAUGGGCCACCCCUCCGAGGAGCAUCCAACAGAGGAAAUGGCCCCGGAGAGCCACACGUCCAGGAGGUACGUGUACAGCCGAGCGCAGGGCUUUGUCCCCUCAUCAGGGGGGUGGCUGCCAGCCGCUGGCAUCCCGUGGGUCACAUCUUACAACCCUACAGGCAACACAUCUUCCCCGUUGGCCAAAAUAGCACUCAGGAAACGUCACUCGGGAUCCCAGCUUGUGUCACUGCCCCCUCCGGGGCCCGGCCUCAAGCACAUCACACCCUCAUCCCUGGGACACACACGGAGCUGGGAAGGACACAACAGAAGCGGGAAGCUGGGCAGGCGGAGACAACACACAGACAUUUUGUUUUGGUUUGUGGCUCCCUGAGCGUCCCUCGUGCAGACAGAACGGCCGAGAAGCAUGCGUUUGGGGCGGUGCGGAUGCCGCAGGGCCUCACGUCGGAAAGCAGUGUCUGGCAUUGGGGGGGGGGGGGUGCCUUGAGCACCCCCACCCCGCCCCCACCCGUUACUCACCAGCCGUGGGACCUGUGAGAAUCACCAGCUUUCCUCACCCGUGGCAUCGUGGCCAUAAUCGUGCCACGGCGGCCAGCAGCCACCAGACUAGGUGACUGGAUGCUGUGAGGACAGAGCCUUGUCUCCCACGCGGAUCCGACCAAUAAACCCUACUCUUGUGACCAUCUCGGGAGUCUAAUGCCUCUCGGAACGUAUUUCCGGAAAAGGUGGGCAGUGGAGAAAGAAUGGAUUUUGGAGCUGGCCUCUAGGUCUGUGGGGAGCUUUCUUUCACUUUUGGUGGGGGUGGUAUAUUUCACUGAGGAAUGCUUUUGCUUUCACGAAGAGUGCCUGGGUGGCAAAUAUCUUUCUUUUGCUCUCAAAGCAAACAAGAGUCUGGCUGAGUGUACAAUUCUGAUAUUUCCGCUCUUUCUCUCAAAAUCUCUGUAACCACUGCUUCUGAAAUCGAGGGUCUCCACAAGGACCUCGGUGGCAGUCUGAUGGUCUCCCCUCCCGCGUGGGAGCGUCGUGGAGUCGCCUUCCACGUGGGGGGAUGAAGAGAACUCGCCAGCGUGCAUGCGUGUGGGUGACUUUCCCCCGGACUCUGCCGUGACCCUCGCGUGUUUGCCAGCUUCGGGGGAACGUGCGCAUAUUGCCGUAUCGUAUAUUCGCGCACUGUGUCUCCAGCGUCUGCACAAGCACUGCUGGUCAGCUGUCGCCAGUGCUUUGCAACAAGCCGCCCCACCCAAUGGGGAACGAUCAUGAGCGUGUGCUGUCCUGCUCACGGGCUAGCACAGCCUCGAGCUGCAGGGCUGCGGUCAGCGAGGAGGCCUCUCCUCUGCGACCAGCUACUGCAGCCACGUCCUCCGGUGCCUACGGGAGAUGUUCAAGGGCAAAGCAAACCAUGUGGCUCAAAUCAACACCAACAGGACCAAGAAAUAUGUGCUUCCUGUAGCGGGGAAAGUCCCGAGUCACACGGCUCAGGGUGUGGGUGCAGGGAGGGCUGAGCCUCAGCGACAGGAAAGUGUCUGCUCAUUCAGAAUAUGGAUGUGGGUUCCUGGUUAACAUCACCCAUGCCUCUGACUCUUGCCCCUGUGGUCUCUCUCUCUCUCCCUCCCGUCUCCCUGUCCCUCCUUCUCUCCCUCCCAUCUUAAUUCCAAGUGAAUUGUAUGUAGUAGUCUCCUAAUUCUGUAAUUUGGUUCCGAGCAUAAAAUCAGGAACAAAAAUAAGCCAUAAGCCAGGGAGAAUUGUUUAAUUUCACUACUAAUCAAAGAAACGUGAAUGACGAUCCGCAGAAUCACAUUGUCAGCUGGACCCUGAGUCUGGGACCCAGGGAGUGCCCCUCGCGGGAAAGACACCCCCCAUGGAGGGGUGGAGACGCCCCUUCUCUGAUGGUUCUAGCCUGCUCCCCUCCCCCACGUCAGAUGCCUGUUCGCCAGAGCCUCUGGUUGGUGCCAGAGAACCUUCCGUUUGCCACACGGAACCGGAGCCUCCACUCUUCGUGCUGAGAUGGAGCUAUCGGAUCUGGUGCCACUCGUCCCCACACUUGACUACUGAGCCCUUGAGAGUGGCUGCUCCGAGCUGAGACACACGUACAAUACCUCAUCAUGCACUUUGUACUCAUUACACACUGACACGAGGGCAUUUGGAGACACUGAGUUGCACAAUAUAUUGAGAUUAAUUAAUUUUAAAAUUAAUUUCAGCUGGGGCCCCUGGGUGGCUCAGUCGGUUGAGUGUCU
This is a long non-coding RNA of Acinonyx jubatus (cheetah), 3467 nucleotides long. RefSeq lists it as uncharacterized. Lineage: Eukaryota; Metazoa; Chordata; Mammalia; Carnivora; Felidae. The record is from RefSeq and is a predicted model, not a curated record. The transcript has 4 exons.